RNAcentral lists this ribosomal RNA (253 nucleotides) under uncultured bacterium. RNAcentral describes it as "partial 16S ribosomal RNA". It matches the Rfam family "Bacterial small subunit ribosomal RNA", at positions 524 to 776 of the family's 1533-position model. The record is from RNAcentral.
GACAGAGGUGCCGAGCGUUAGGCGGAAUCACUGGGCUUAAAGCGUGUGUAGGCGGGUCGGUAAGUACCUUGUGAAAUCCCCCGGCUCAACCGGGGAAUGGCUGGGUAUACUGGCGAUCUUGAGCGAUCCAGGGGCAGAUGGAACAAGUGGUGGAGCGGUGAAAUGCGUAGAUAUCACUUGGAACGCCAAAGGUGAAGACAGUCUGCUGGGGAUCUGCUGACGCUGAGACACGAAAGCCAGGGGAGCGAACGGG